ACUAUUAAUAUGGGGAGCUGAAUAUGGUCGGCUGAGAAAAAGACCCCUAAGUCUUUGACCCUUAUACCUGAUCUGGAUAAUACCAGCGUAGGAAAAUAAAUAACAAAACAU
This 111-nucleotide non-coding RNA is filed under the name Gottschalkia acidurici. RNAcentral describes it as "Clostridium acidurici TPP sequence". It matches the Rfam family "TPP riboswitch aptamer (THI element)". Rfam says of the family: Vitamin B(1) in its active form thiamin pyrophosphate (TPP) is an essential coenzyme that is synthesised by coupling of pyrimidine and thiazole moieties in bacteria. The previously detected thiamin-regulatory element, thi box was extended, resulting in a new, highly conserved RNA secondary structure, the THI element, which is widely distributed in eubacteria and also occurs in some archaea. Lineage: Bacteria; Bacillati; Bacillota; Tissierellia; Tissierellales; Gottschalkiaceae. RNAcentral also lists the same sequence under 1 other name. The record is from RNAcentral.